Ahaetulla prasina is the source of this 3000-nucleotide long non-coding RNA. RefSeq lists it as uncharacterized. Lineage: Eukaryota; Metazoa; Chordata; Lepidosauria; Squamata; Colubridae. The transcript is spliced from 4 exons. The record is from RefSeq and is a predicted model, not a curated record.
CAAAACUCUAGAUCGAACAGAGCUUCUUUCUCUGUCUGUAAACACAAUGCAAAUAGGCCAUUCGAUUAUAAAUUGGAAAAAGCUAGGAUUCUAAGGUCCUUGUUUCAUUUGGAAAGCUGCUGAUGGAGGAUGGCCGCUUUAGCCAAAUGAAGAUCUAUGAUCUCUGUAGCACCAGUUUUGCCUACAUACUGGACAUCAACAGCCCUCCAGAGUUAAAAGUGGAAGAUGCCAGGAUCUUUUGCAUGCUAAGCUUCCUCCACCUUGAAACAUGGCACAAAUCAAUACGGAAGAAAAGUGGAAGAAGUUGAACGAAAAUAAAAGAAAGUUGCAUCACUAAGAAAACAUAAGUGUGCCUCCACAGCUAAAUCACUCACAGAGCUGGGAUUAAGAAGACAGUGUCCAAAUAAUAGCAGUUGGCAAUUUCCUUGGCGUGUCAUGCUUCAUUCAAAUCCCAAGGGAGAACUUUUCUCCUGGGUGGAGAGAAAACCAGUGAGGCUACAGAAUGAUGAAGAAGUAUAUAAUUGACAAUGCCGCCCUUGAUUGCCUUGAAAUGAUAUGGUGAGAAGUAUCGUCAAAACAAAGGCAAAAGAAUGCUGAGAAAACCAGAAAUCUCUUUUUAUAGAGGAAAAUAACUUGGACAAAUUAAAAGACAGAUUGUAACAUAACAUUCUUUAUAGUCUUUUCUAACUGGUGCAGGAGCAAAAGAUCAGGACUCCCAGGCUCUACUUUUCAUAGAAUGUGAUAUCUGUGAUAUCUGUGUAAAAUGUUUCCUCAGCAGGGUAUGCAAUGAGUAACAUCCUGGGAACCAAGAGGCUCUUGGUUCCCAAAGUCCUAUGAAUCUACGUAGUAGAAUUUGAGACGUGUGGUCUGAAGAGAUGGAUGAUUUCAUAUGGCAUGCAUCGGACUGCUCUUUUAGACAAACGCAGUUGAGAAAAAUGUAUGCGCUUGAACAGAACUAUGAAAGCAGUUUUUUCCCAUCUUACUAAAUUGCAAGAUUAGAUGUCUAGAUGCAGACUUCUAUGUUAUUUCAAAAGCUAUUUGAAAAUGUCCACAAUGAAAUAUCCACUGUGAGAUCGUGUCCCUGUGGUCAUUAUUAGUAAGACCUAGCAAACCAGUAAUUGAAAUAGUGUUUCGAUUACAGAGAACUCUUCCUCAAACAAUAUGUGUGUAUUUCAGAAAGCAUUGGGUAAAUAAAUAUCCAGAGCAUCCUUCAUUUCCCACAGAAGUUCUUCGAAGAAAAGUUCUUUCGCCUUAUCUUCAGUCCAUCAGUCUGAAGAAAUUCCUCAAUCUAUCUGCCUUUACACUUUGUAGACUUACACAGUUUUUGUGAAAGGAAAAUCUGAAACAGUUUUGAAUUAACCAAAGAUUUAACUCCCAGUCACUAUUAGCUAAUCAGUAUAUAGAAAAGUUGAAAAAGACUAUUUUAAGAAAGGCAGAUCAGUCUUUUAGAGGGUGUCCUUGCCUUUAAUAUGCCAUUUUCAAACUUUGAGUGAUAUACAGACGGUGAAACAUUUAAUUUAGUGCACCUGAAACAUUUCACUUCAUGACACUGUAAAUCCCAGCUGUUGAUAUGGUUUGAUUUCCAGAUAAGAUGACUUUAUAAUUUAGAAUUCACUAUCCCCCAGACUUGUAGAUACACUUAUCAACUUAUAGUGCCCAAAGGACAAAUGGGAAUUAUUUCACAAAGGAACUCACACUAAUUGUAGCAGUCACUCCAUUUUAAUUUCCCUUACAAAUCAAUUCAAUUUAGGGAGUCUGCUCAGAAGGCCACAAUAUACUGUAGCUUGUCAGAAACAGUGUCUUCCAGAAUCUAUAUUGGGUCGUAAUUUUGAAGGGCUACACUUUAUUCUUUGGCAACAGUUCCUACACUGUGAUCCAGGGACUACUUCUAGUCUCUAAGACUUCUGCUGGUGGUCCCAACUGUAGAAAUAUCUGUAUAUGUACUGUAUAGAAAUUUCACUGAAUUCAAUCCCAGGAAAUUGACCAAUCCCACAAAAGGUGAGCAUUAUUGACAGUCUUUUGGCUGUUUUCUUAAAGUAAUGUUUUAUUUAAUGUUGGAUUUGUGUACAUGCCAACUGGAGGAUAAUUUGCACGCCACGUUGCCUGCAAAUACCUCAUUGGUAAUAUCUUAGAUAUAUUUAUCUCCCAACUGAGGAAAAUAUAAAGAACCCAAGGCCAAACCCCUCAGAAAUGAACUGUAUUUUCUUACUUCUUCGGGGGAGGAAAAAUGAAAAAUAUUUCAUUUUCAUUCUAACCAAAUGGGAAUGUUUGCACAAACCUGCAAGACCUUUUCAGCCCAGCGCUAGUAAAAAUGUAUAAGCUAAAGAUCCUACUCUAUUAAAAGAAUUGAUUCAUAGAGGGAAGCCCAAUGCUGCUUCUUCAACAAAAAGUGAAAUGCGCUCAUCCAGCACUGUUUUUUGUUAAUAUCACCCACUUGAGCUCCACUCUUAAGAUUUAUGAUGUCACUAUUAAAGCCCUCUGGGUCAUUACAACCUUGCCUUUCAUCUAGUCUGUAUAUAAAUAAUUGAUCAUCAUAAGGAUUGAAACCUGGGGAAAUGGAGACAACUUAACACAGAUAUUCUUUAUGACAUCAAUUACAGGGGAAAUCAUUUGGUAAGAGAAACGAAUAUUUCAAGUGGAGCAAUAAUGAUAGCUAGCUUCUGCAAUGCUUUCUGCUGCAAAUGAAAUGUAUCCAAGUUCCACUUGAGGAAGAAAAUGCUUUAUUGUUCAGGGAGAGCAUGUCACAUGUGUAUCUGUGUAUGUAACCCAGCUUUCAGCAUAUUAAAGGGUUUUUUUUAAUAACAAAAAAGUGGUGACACCUUCUAGUUUAUGCAUCAAAUUUAAAUAACAUUUUAUAUAUCAUUAACUAUUAAGUAUGACCGACAUCCUAUAUGGAACUGCCUGAGAGUAUUUUCCAUUUUAUUCAAUAGAGUUUGCUUCUGGGUAGACCUGGGUAUGUUUGUGUUUCUAUCUGUCUGAGGACAGGAGUUCCAUGUUAAG